RNAcentral lists this ribosomal RNA (497 nucleotides) under uncultured bacterium. Its description in RNAcentral is "partial 16S ribosomal RNA". It matches the Rfam family "Bacterial small subunit ribosomal RNA", at positions 28 to 507 of the family's 1533-position model. The record is from RNAcentral.
GAUGAACGCUGGCGGCGUGCCUAAUACAUGCAAGUCGAGCGAACGGACGAGAAGCUUGCGUCUCUGAUGUUAGCGGCGGACGGGUGAGUAACACGUGGAUAACCUACCUAUAAGACUGGGAUAACUUCGGGAAACCGUAGCUAAUACCGGAUAAUAUUUUGAACCGCAUGGUUCAAAAGUGAAAGACGGUCUUGCUGUCACUUAUAGCUGGAUCCGCGCUGCAUUAGCUAGUUGGUAAGGUAACGGCUUACCAAGGCAACGAUGCAUAGCCGACGUGAGAGGGGGAUCGGCCACACUGGAACUGAGACACGGUCAAGACGCCUACGGGAGGCAGCAGUAGGGAAUCUUCCGCAAUGGGCGAAAGCCUGACGGAGCAACGCCGCGUGAGAGAUGAAGGUCUUCGGAUCGUAAAACUCUGUUAUUAGGGAAGAACAUAUGUGUAAGUAACUGUGCACAUCUUGACGGUACCUAAUCAGAAAGCCACGGCUAACUACGUG